Molecule: ribosomal RNA, 253 nt
Filed under: uncultured bacterium
Lineage: Bacteria
Description: partial 16S ribosomal RNA
Rfam family: Bacterial small subunit ribosomal RNA
Source: RNAcentral
UACGGAGGAUGCAAGCGUUGUCCGGAAUUAUUGGGCGUAAAGCGUCCGCAGGUGGUUAUACAAGUCUGCCGUUAAAGACAGUAGCUUAACUACUGAAAGGCGGUGGAAACUGUAAGACUAGAGUACGGUAGGGGUAGAGGGAAUUCCCAGUGUAGCGGUGAAAUGCGUAGAGAUUGGGAAGAACACCAGUGGCGAAAGCGCUCUACUGGGCCUGUACUGACACUAUUGGACGAAAGCUAGGGGAGCGAAAGGG